GUCGGCUAAGUGAAAGUGAAGUGUGUGCAGUGAUUUGUUAGAGCUCCUUAUGUUUUAUCAUCAUUACCCGACUACUAUGGAGCUUCUUCUGGGUCUGCUGGGUCUGCUGGGUCUGGGUCUUCUGGGGAGAACACUUUGUGAUGAAAACGUUGCUGCAGAGCCAGACAUCACGUUAUGAUGCCACAGAUGAAGGAGUGUUGCUGCAGUGUGGGUUCGAGGUGCUGCUCCGAAACUUAAAGUAGAGUGGCAGGACAGAGAUGGAACCAACUUCCUGCUAAAGAACUACAGGUCCCAGAAAGAGGAGACAGAGACCACAUCACUCUCCAGGACUACUGUGACCCAGACCGGCUACUGUCGCUGUGUCGUCACACAGGAGGAAACCAACCGUAGGACUCAUGCUGAGAUUUAUGUGGUUAUUAUGUCUCGUGGACCAAACUAAGUACUAGAGCUGGAAUUCUUGUUGGAGUUGGAGUUGGAGUUGCAGCAACAGCUUUUCUUUUACAAAAGAACAUCAAGAACAUCAAGAACAAGUCCAAAGACAAAGAAGCAUCAGCCGCUAAAUAACCCGACACACAACAGCCCCACAGAGGAAACCUGAAACAAAGAAGAAAUCAGACAAAGGUUUUAGGUCACACAGAGAUUCCUUUGUAUUGCUGAACUGACGAUUGAAGUCAUAAUAAUACAGUUCAUUCAUGGUGACCUUUCAUGUCACUCAAGGUCACUUUACAGCAGUUAACCCUCGUGUUGUCUUCCCAUCGACCAUUGACCAUGUACGUUUUUAAUUUUCUGGGUCAUAAUUCUUUUUUUAAAUGUCACUUUUUCCAUUUUUGUCACUUUUUUCCAUUUUUUUUGUCACAAACAUUCAAUGUUAUUUUUGAAGUUUUUGUAAAUUUUUCUACAAUUGUUUUGACGUUUUUGUUGUUUUUUUUCCAACAUUUUCUUUCACUUUUUAAUCAUGAAAAGGGUGUAAUCUGAGGGAAUAUGCUAAUCUAAAGAAUGUAUUUUAAGAUGAGAUUUGAAGGUGGAGAGAGAGUUAACUCUUACAGAUGGUUUUCAGGACAAACUGGGCCAUUAGAAUAUUUUUGCUGCAGUGAGGUCACUUCAAUGUUAAAAAUGGUUGUAAGACCUUAAAGACAAAUACAUAAGUAAAACGGAACAUGAAUCUUUCAGAUAUGUAUUGAUAUCACAGACAGAGCAGUAAAAACACGUCUCAUAUGUCUCGGGAGUCACACUGUGAAGAAAUAAUCAUCAUAACUUAUACAGUUGACAAAAUACAUGCAUGUUGUCAAAGAAAGUCCAGACGCUUUUGCCCUUAUGACAUUUACUUAUGCCAAUAAUAACAAUCCAAUUAAUUUAAAUGUUUUAAAUUUUUUUAUCUCAUAUAAUGACGAAACUUUUUAAAGUAAAAUGUAUUGAAUUUAAUGCAAUUAUUUUGAAGCCCUAUAUUAUUUUUAUUUUGAUCAAUUAUUUAUAUGAAUUAUUUGAAAUACUUCAUCAAUAAUACUCAUUUAAACAAAUGGAUAUAGUAGUACUAGAGAAUUGCUAAAAAAUGAAAUGUAAAGUUAUGAAGUGGGGUCAGUGUACAAGAUAAAACAUUUAAAUUAAGAUAA
Long non-coding RNA from Etheostoma spectabile (orangethroat darter), 1610 nucleotides. RefSeq lists it as uncharacterized. NCBI's taxonomy places the organism in Eukaryota, Metazoa, Chordata, Actinopteri, Perciformes, Percidae. The record is from RefSeq and is a predicted model, not a curated record. The transcript has 4 exons.